Long non-coding RNA from Xiphias gladius (swordfish), 892 nucleotides. RefSeq lists it as uncharacterized. The record is from RefSeq and is a predicted model, not a curated record. NCBI's taxonomy places the organism in Eukaryota, Metazoa, Chordata, Actinopteri, Istiophoriformes, Xiphiidae. The transcript is spliced from 3 exons.
GUUGACAGGCAGCAGCAGCAGCAGCAGCAGCACCAGCUAGCAGCCCCACCGGCCAGACAGGAAGGAGGCCGAUCUGGCGUCACAUCCGGUGAGAGCAGAAGCUGAGUUGAACGAACCCCGGAUGCGGAGCCGACGUCCAAAUGGUUGAGCUUCCCACUCCCUCGUUUACCCGAGCACAUCCGCUUUUUAUCGGUUGAAGAUGGGGCGCACAUUAAAGUUUCACACAGACCUAAUCAGUAAGUUACCCCACCAGGGCUGUUGGACAUUACUGGCCUGUCACAGCUGUGGUCUCCCAGAGAGAAACACAGCUACAGCCUGUCUCUUUCUCUCUCCCUCCCUCUGCCCUUGAGUCCUGGUAAUCUGCUUGUCACAUUAUCUUGUACCGCUGUCCCAAAGCAGCAUAUCCAGCAGUUAGCGUCGACCUGCUGGCUCACAUUUCCUUCCUGUUUACCACUCGCCGCUCCUGACCCGCAGGGGCCACGGCUCCAUUGUGUGUCAACCUGGCUUGUGUUACCUACUGGCUUCCCCAACCCUGUCCUGCUUUCAGCUGUGUAGCCCGCCACCCUACUUCCAUUCUCGCUCCCUGUUACUUCCUCGUAACUACAGAUAGUGCAGUGUCUCUCUCUGCAUGUCCAGUGUUUGUAUCUUGAUACCUGCAGUACACGUCAGAAAUGAGGAAUGUCGGUGUUAUAAAAUGGCAGUUUUUGCUUUAGUUCACGACUUGUUAAUGCAACAAGUUUUAAGAAAACCAACACAGUUCAAACUUUGUAGUUUUUCAGCAGGGUUACAACUUGUUUUAUUUAUUUAUGAGCAAACCAUGUAAUGUAAUGUAAAGCAAUGUACCAAUAAAUAUUUUUUAUUAUAAUGUCAACAUUACUCUUGCUCUUAUACA